Molecule: long non-coding RNA, 2792 nt
Organism: Equus caballus (horse)
Lineage: Eukaryota; Metazoa; Chordata; Mammalia; Perissodactyla; Equidae
Source: Ensembl
GUGGUACAGAGCCAAAAGUCGGCUGUUUUAGAAAAGUGACUAUGUACAGAUUCCCUGAACUUAGUAUCUGAUUCUAUCUUCUAAGUAGAUAAUAUUCUUAAGAAGUCUCAAGCACAGUAGUACAUUUUUUAUGUCAGCCCACAAUGCCCUUUGAAAUCUUUUUAUGGAAGCUCAGAGAAGACAAAGAAUUGGAAAACGUAGCUUUAGAAAUCUACUUUUAAAAACUGAUGGAAGCACAGAGGCAUUUACAGUUAAUCCACAGAUUCGUGAAGCUGCAAUUUUUAAAAAUUUCCUUACUUCAUGACUAUAUGAAACAUAGAGGAAUGAAUGGUAACCUUUGUCAUAUUAAAAUAUCACUGUCAUAUGAGAGGAUUUCUUCAGAAUCUGCUGGUCUUUGAAUAUCCAUUCAUAUUUAAGGGUGAGGUACUAAAAAGAAGCCAGGACACUUCUUCAAGGAGCUAAGCAUACACAACUGGCCCAGAAAUCAGAGAAACUGAGGGAGAAUCGAGAGGUACAAGGGCCAGCUUCAGGCUCCACCAUUGCCUCAUGCCACCAGAUAAAGAAACUCUCAGAGAGAAGUAAAAAUAUGCCCUAAAUUACCACAGCUAGCAAAUGGCAGAGCUGCAAUGUCAAACCAAGAUUGAUCUUCCUCCAGAGCCCACUGCAAUUCAGUUUUAGGAUGUUAUAACUAUUCAUUAUAUUUGCAUCUGUUGUUUUUGUACGAUUUUGUCUAAUAUGAAUUUUCUACAUGAAUCAUGCAUUCUUUAAACUUGGAUAUACCUUUCCUUAGAAUAUAGGAUUAAGAAUGAACAUUUUUUUAUUUUAAUAUACUAUUUGCUACUCAGUUUAUUGAUAUUUUAUAAAUUGUUUAUGUACUUUCUUACAUGUUUAUAUAGAACAUUCUUCUGUAGGAUCAUUCAUCAGAAUCCCUUUCAAAAACUUAAGAUUUCAGUUUUUGGUUGCUUGCAUGUUAUUUCUUAAACAUUUACUGAUAAGUUGCAUUCCCUUACAGAUUAAAGUAAUGACUUAAAUUUGCUUUACUUUGAUAUGAUCAGAUUUUUACCUUAUUAAAUACAAAUAUUUUCGUCUCACAAAGACUGUAUUUUCAUCUUUGUAUUUGUAUUCAAAUUUGUAUUCUAGGGUUAUAAUGCUAUUGGGGAGCACCAGUAUAUUCUUGGUUUUAGUCUGAAUAAAAAAAGACCAAAAUAGUAUGUAAUCAUUGAGUCUUGGCAUUUGAGGGUGGUGGCAAUAAAGCGUUGGUUUAAAAUGUCAUCUGUCUUCUUUUCUUUUGUAGGACUAAGACAGGAACUUCCUUUAGAUCAAGGCUGAAGCUUGGGAAUAGGGUUAAAACUCAAGCAUCCUUUUCUGUUUCAUAACAUUAUCUUACACUUCUGUUUCUAGAGUUUCACUUUUAUUUAUUUAUUUUUUAGUGUAUUGGGCAAAAAGGGAGCAUUUAUAAUUAUAACUUUUGUUAUGUUCAUGUAACUCAUAAAGUUAUGUUUGCUUAUUUUCAGUUUCUUUCCAGGAUGCGAUCUUCAGAGAAGCACAGGAUGGCUUUAGGUGUACCUCAUCACCACUAGGAAGAUAGCUGUGCCUGCCUUUGCUGUAAAUGCGUCCCUGUUUAUGACUGGAGCAUGGCUUCAGAGAAGAGAAGAUGAGCUACAGAGACAGUGGAAAGAAACUCUCUCGCUGAGAAAGAAGAUAGUCCACCAGCAGGAACACAGGCAUUGAAAGUGAGCUACAGAAAUAAAGUGCCCAUUCUGAGGAACAACGGAAUGAACCGAAUGCAUAAAACAAGUUAUAUGGACAGGCCAAACGUCAGGUCCUCCUCUGAGAAUGGAGUUAAUAAUGGAACUUGGUCUUAGGAUGCCUGAGGUUGCAUAUAUAUCAGACACACAAAAGAUACAAAAUUCAAUCUGUGCUUGAAGGGAGCUUCUCAUGGGAGAUGGAAGAAGAGCAAGAUUUGGCCACAAGAUAUAUCUGUGCGAGAUUUGGAAGGUGAAAAUAAAGCCGUAAUUGUGUUCACUCUGGGAAACUUGAUCAAGUCUGGCUCUUCUGCAGCUCAUCAAAGUUUCUACAGAUGGAGAAGUUAAAAGAUUUGCUCAAGGUCACAGCGCUGGGUCUAGAAGACGUUGUGUUGUUUUUCAGCCCACUUUCCUGCUUCUCAGUGGAAAUUAUGACACAGAAAAGUUAUGCCAAAGAGAAUACUGUCAAACUUAGCAGAAGCUAAUUAAAGUGCGAAGUAUUCUUAAUGUAAGAUUUCAUAGCAAUUUGUUUCGGGAGCAAGUUACAGUGCCAGAGUCCGUUAGUUGCCAGGACCUGCUUGAAGUAGUAAGAUGAGAAUGAACGUGGCACCUGUUGGGCACAGCGGAGAAGAGAGCUAGGAUCCAUUUGCAGUGUCCACCAUCAUUCUAAGUUCACCACAGAAUUCCCCCAGAGACCAGUACCUUGCUUGACACAAAGGAGAAACUCUAUAAAUGUGAUAGAUGGAUAAAAGAAGAAAAAAGUCUCAAUAUUAUCAAUUGGAAAUUUAUCAAUCAACAUCAGUUUUUCUUAUUACUGUUCGUGAUGUGAUGAUUGUCUUCUAUACUUCCAGAAACAGGCCUUUUCCUGUUGAAUUGAGGAGAGCCACUUUGUGUUUUAUUUGGAGCAAUAUAAAAGACUUUGAAGAUUUUCAACUGAAGAUUAGCCCUGAGCUAACAUCUGCUGCCAAUCUUCCUCUUUUUGCUGAGGAAGACUGGCCUUGAGCUAACAUCUGUGCCCAUCUCCCUCUACUUUAUAUGUGGGAUGCC